Molecule: ribosomal RNA, 589 nt
Filed under: uncultured bacterium
Lineage: Bacteria
Description: bacterial SSU rRNA
Rfam family: Bacterial small subunit ribosomal RNA (bases 1-518)
Source: RNAcentral
CCUACGGGAGGCAGCAGUGGGGAAUAUUGGACAAUGGGCGAAAGCCUGAUCCAGCAAUGCCGCGUGAGUGAUGAAGGCCUUAGGGUUGUAAAGCUCUUUUACCAGGGAUGAUAAUGACAGUACCUGGAGAAUAAGCUCCGGCUAACUCCGUGCCAGCAGCCGCGGUAAUACGGAGGGAGCUAGCGUUGUUCGGAAUUACUGGGCGUAAAGCGUACGUAGGCGGUUAUUCAAGUCAGAGGUGAAAGCCUGGAGCUCAACUCCAGAACUGCCUUUGAAACUAGAUAGCUAGAAUCUUGGAGAGGUGGGUGGAAUUCCGAGUGUAGAGGUGAAAUUCGUAGAUAUUCGGAAGAACACCAGUGGCGAAGGCGACUCACUGGACAAGUAUUGACGCUGAGGUACGAAAGCGUGGGGAGCAAACAGGAUUAGAUACCCUGGUAGUCCACGCCGUAAACGAUGAUAACUAGCUGUUCGGGCUCUACGAGCUUGAGUGGCGCAGCUAACGCAUUAAGUUAUCCGCCUGGGGAGGUACGUCGCAGAUAACUACAAGAGAGUAGCGNGNGAGAGCGACGACGACGACGACGAGGAGGAG